This is a long non-coding RNA of Herpailurus yagouaroundi (jaguarundi), 272 nucleotides long. RefSeq lists it as uncharacterized. The record is from RefSeq and is a predicted model, not a curated record. The transcript has 2 exons. Lineage: Eukaryota; Metazoa; Chordata; Mammalia; Carnivora; Felidae.
UUUGUUGUGCGGCUGCAACCUGAGGCGGUUCAGGGACCGGAUUUGGUUAGAGGAUGCUGAGCCGGGCUGAAGUCACCCAGGGCGGUCAUCCCUGACUCAUCUGAAGAGCCUUCUGUCUCCUCACCCUAUUACUUGUUUAGCUGGGACUUUCAGGGAAGAUUCCCCAACCUGGGAAUCUUUAACAGUGAUGACUUUGUCAUAGAAGAGAAACCAGAAGUUAGUCCAUCACUUUGAUAUUAUGGAGGAAUAAAUUACAUCUAGAGAGAAAUAGA